RNAcentral lists this non-coding RNA (199 nucleotides) under Xanthobacter autotrophicus. Lineage: Bacteria; Pseudomonadati; Pseudomonadota; Alphaproteobacteria; Hyphomicrobiales; Xanthobacteraceae. RNAcentral also lists the same sequence under 1 other name. The record is from RNAcentral.
UAUAGUCGUCCCGUCGUCGGUGUUCGCUUUCGGGCGGACCAAGAGGGAAUGCGGUGCGGGAGUUUCUCCCAAAGCCGCGGCUGCCCCCGCAACUGUCGGCGGUGAGCGGGCCUGCAACAUGCCACUGGAGCAAUCCGGGAAGGCGCAGGCUUCGCAAUGACCCGCGAGCCAGGAGACCUGCCGGCGACAUCCUGCCCGU